Hemicordylus capensis (graceful crag lizard) is the source of this 12674-nucleotide RNA transcript. It is a transcript of the gene named HEAT repeat containing 4, with no coding region annotated. NCBI's taxonomy places the organism in Eukaryota, Metazoa, Chordata, Lepidosauria, Squamata, Cordylidae. The record is from RefSeq and is a predicted model, not a curated record. The transcript has 19 exons.
UUCGGUAUAAGGCAGCUUUCUAUGUUCCUCUCAUCCGCCAUAUUGUCACCUCCUUGCACAGUGGAACAGUUAAUCAGCACUGUUCCUUAAUGUGCAGCUUCAAUACUACUUUAUAAAGUAGCAUUAAAAGUAUGCAUGAGGGUGGGCAUUUCAGAAGGACACCAGCACACUGGAUUUGUGGGGACGUGCACUUCUGCACUCCUCCUACACACUCUUAAGGGGCCGGUUCAGAGCAUCGUCCAAACUUUAUCAUGUAUAAUAAAUCUCUGACUGAUAUAUACAAUUGGAACUCGACUUGAUAUAUCAACUAAUCUGAAAGCUAGUAAUACAUUGUGACAUAUAUAUUGUGACAUGUAGUAUCACAAUGAUAUAUAGUGACAUAUUCUCACCAUUGUAAGGCAGUAAAAUGUUAUUACCUCAUUUCCUUUAAGUGAGGUACAGAGCUUCUGAAAUUAAAGGCUUAAUACUCAAUGGCUGAAGAUUACUUAGUCGGAAGCUCUAUUUAAAACAAACAAUUUGCAAAAGUGACAAAUCAAAUUUGACAGAAUGCAAGUACAUCAUCUGUAGCCAGGCAACAACUGUAAACAGCUCAAGGAGAAAUCUUUAAGAAGCCCGGAAGCUGAUGUAGGUUAUUGCAGUUUUCUCAUGUCCAUACAAGUCUAGAUCUGUGAGAGAACCAUUCUGAAAGGAGAUGCUGAGCUGUCAUCGCAGAGGACAGUGAAACUUCAUUUUCGUAACAUAGCUCUGUGAAUUAUUUUUAAGGUUUUAAAACAUUGAUGAAUUUUACCAAACUUGAAAGGAUGGAGAUCCCUACUUUUUUCAAGAGUAAAAAUCCCUUCCCUCUUGAGUCAGCUCUGAAGAUCAGAGUUGAUAGAAAGAACUUGCCAUCUCGCAAUGCCAUGAUGUCUGUGAUGAAGGCAGAAAUGCCACUAACGUGCAGAUAUAUUGGCCAUUCCCAGCGGCACCAUGCACACUACCAGAAAAAAUUUCUCAAGACUAUAGCGAAGGAUCUCAGUUUUUCUAAAGAGGUUAUACAGCAUAGAAGCCCAUCAUCUCUGACUUAUGAGGAAUAUGUCCAGACGGGCCUAUAUGAUGUUUCCAGUAUCGUUCAUGAACACAAAGUUGAAAGCAUUACUGCUAAGAAACAAAGAAGACCAAGUAGGCUUAAACCUUUGAGGAGAGAAUCAAUUAAAUUAGAUAUUGCACCUGAUAAUCAGACCCCUACAAAUGUUCCUUUGUACUUGGAAGAGUGUAUCAGGAAAGCUGAGUUGGAAAGUUCACACUCAGAGCCAUCUCUACUGGUAUAUAUUCCUCCCCCUCCUCCCCCUCCUUCUUGUGAUCCCCCUUACUCACAGACAUUCCUGACUGAACCUCAGGAGAUGUUAGGAGAUGUCAUGACCAAACAAUGGUCAAAAAGAACAUUCCAGAGCACCACAAAAAUCCAGGAUCCAGAGUGUAAGGACCUACGUUGGGAAGAAUGUUUGUUGAUUAAGUUAAACAAGGGUACAGCUCAAUGGAUUGUGAAUAAUCAAUCCUCCUGGGGAGGGUGGAUUCAGGGGAAGCCACGCCGUUUCAGGAAGCAAAGAUAUGACUGGGAAAGCAUCAGGUAUGUGCUCCCUUGCGAAAGUGAUGUGGCAUUGCUGAAUGAAAUUCAAACAACGAAAACUGCAAGUCAUAUUCGAAUCUAUGAAGAAAAGGAAGCAGAAACUCUUCUCCCUUCUUAUUACAGGAUUCCUUCUUUUCAAUCAAGAGUGCAGCGCAUAGAUGACCCAACUGGUAACAACAGUACAGCGGAUAAAAUAUCAAAGAAGACUCUUAGACUGGUGUCUCCCGUUAAACGUCGGGAGCGGCUGAACUCCCGGGUUGGCAAACACUCUUACACCACCCAGAAUGUCUUUGAACAAGAACUCUAUUUUGGGACAGCCAAAAUUGUCCAUCAAAAGGCCAAGAAGGAUCGUAUCUUUAUGGAUAAUAAUGAUGUAUAUUGUAAGCACCUCCCACAGCACUACCCAAGACCUCCAGAGCUCUGGAGCUUCAAGCCAUCAAAAAAGACAACUAAAAGGGUGCAGAAGGGAGCCAUCCACUGGGCUGAAGUUCCCACUAUCGUUGAGGACUUUGCCCAACUUGGUGAAGGAGAAACCCCUGUACCAUCUAGGAGAAAAUGGGUUUCACACAGCAUGUUUGAAGAAGAUGUAUCCCAGGAUAUACGUAUCCGUAGGACAAUGUUGGCACAGUGGAAGACUGCUUGGAAGUUGGAGUCUCGGUGGCAGGCAGCAACCAUAGAAGGAUUAGUGAGAGACCUCAGAGAUAUCCAUGUUCAGAAUCGAAUCAAAGCUAUAGUUGUGUGUGCAUCUGCUGUGCUUGAGCGGCCCCAGCCCGUAAAAAAAGGAAGUCAGGAGUCAGUAAUAGGAAUAGAAGCUGGUGCAAAGGGCUUAGAAGUCCAGGAUAUACCGAAGAAAAUACAGCCUUUGCUUAGGAAUACUCUGUUUGAUAAGGAUGCUCAUGUGAGGAUGGCUGCUGCAGUGUGCUACUAUGCCAUAGGGAGGCCAUAUCAAGAGGCACAGGCUAUCAUGAGGAAUGCUUUGAUACAUGGUAAUUCUGCAGACAGCUGGGCAGCAGCUCAGGCCUUGGCAUUGGAAGGUAUUACCAGUUUUCAGGUAGUGAAAAGGAUCCUGUCUCAAAUUUUUAAUCAAAAGGAUGACACAGCAGAAGAUCAGGCUUGCCUUCUAUUAGCUCGGCUCAGCAAGAGAACAGGCUUGGUUCACUGUUUACUGGCAUCUGAACUGAACAGCUACCAAUGGAGACAUCGAGUUUUAGCCUGCAAAACAAUUUCUCGCAUUCCCGGGAGUGUCAGCCAGGACCUCAAGAACAAAAUUGUCCAGCUGAUGUGGACAGAUUGGAAGUUUGAGGUACGCCAGGCAGCUGCCAAGGCUUUGGGGCAUUUGCAGCUUGGGAAAGAAGUCCAUGAUCAGCUCAGGAAGAAACUGAAAAGAGGAGAUUGUCGGAUGAGGGUGGAUGCUCUUUCGAUGAUUGGCUGGCUAGAACUCAUGACAGCCAAGCUGCUUCCCGGCUUUCUUCAGUGUUUCUCUGAUGACUUUGUUGCAGUCCGAAAGGAAGCCUGUUGGGUGGCUGGAAUACUUAGGAUUACAGAAGAAAGGGUGCUAAAAUGUCUUUUUAAGAUGAUGCAGACGGAUCCUCUCUGGAAGAUCAAGGCCCUUGCCAUCAGAGCUCUGGGCCUGAUAGGCCAAGCGAGUCCACACCUACAAGAACUUCUUCUCUGGGCCCUUCAUUAUGAAGAAGAUCCUGGGGUACGAAGGGAAGCCUGCCGUAGUAUUAUCACCCUCAAUAUGCAGGAUGAAACAGUUCGGGCUACAUUACUGGAAAGAAUGAUACUGGAACCAAAUGAGAUGGUCAGAGAAGAGAUGAAACAUGCAGUGUCAGUUUUUGAUUUUCAACAGGAAGAGGAACAAGAAAUGAUUCAAGAGAUCAAGGACAAGAUUGCCAGGUUAAGCAAGAAGGACCUGGUGAUCCAGAAACUGCUCAAACUUCAAGAGAUAAUAGAGAGAACAUGGCAUGAAGCCCAUCGCAUCUAUCGAGACAAGGGAGACGUCUUUGCAUACAAAGAAAUAAGAGACAUCUUCCUUGAUGUUGUUCAGACCACUUUCACUGGUCAAACACAGUAUCCCCACAGGAAGUUCUCAGAGGUUUGGAAAGAAAAUUUACUACCUUGCCCGAGAAUCCCAUCAAACCCCUGGACACAAAGAGCCUUCUCAGAGACACUGGAAGUACAGUAUGCUGGGAGGGAAACACGUGCCAAAAAAAAAAGCAGACUCCCACAGAGAAACUGAAGGAAUCCAGGAUCAUCAAGAAGAGUGGAGAAGUGCUGCCCAUUGUCCAUUUUGAGUCAUGACCAGUUGGUUACUUAGCUGACCUUUUUACUGUGGGAAAGGAGAUUACACCAGAAUUUGCUGACCGGUUAGUCAAGUCAAUUUUACAACUUCAUUUUUAUAGGUCUAAGGUAAGUAUUUGCAGUUAUGAAAAUGGAACAAACUGGAUUCCUGUCCUCCGUUAGAGAAGCUUGCAUUUUCUUCCAUUAUAUUUGCAAAGUUAUUAAGCCUAUGGUCCUGAAUCUGGGCUAUUAAGCCUGCAGUUGCAAGGGGGUAAAUCCCAUUCAAAAUAGGGGGACUUCCUUUGAGUAAACAUGUUUAAGAUUACUGCAUAAGCCUCUCCAUAGCCAUAUUGUCUGAAUACAGACAAAGGUGCAUUGUUGUAAAUGCAUUUUCAGUUUCACAUUUUAGAAGUAACAUGGCUCAGAUUGAUCCAUUUAGUGACCCAACAUUUUCUGCAUAUCACCUCUUUAGGUGUUAUAAAAUGUUGAUAUCACUCUAGGAGGCUAACAAACAGUCCAAUCCUCUGGAGACUUAGCCAUGCCUAGCCCAGUAAUUUAGAUUAGUUUAGACAUGCCUAGCAUUGCAUUUGAACAGAUUAAGUUAUUUUUCAAUAAAAAGCUGUCAUCCCAUACAUAAUUCUCAUUUAACCACAUAUCUGGCUUUUUUGUCCAUCUUGCCUAUAUGGCCUCUCUUCUGAUGAUUCUUUUUCUGGCAAAAUAUGAAACUUUCAGGACAUUAUGUUAUAUAAAAUUGAGACUCUACAAUAAUAUAACCAAAACACCACUAGUAUUAAGCAAGAAGCAGGAUUUCUGGGAAGAGUAGUAGCUUGAUGUGAGAUAUUUGAAUGCUGGCUUUUUUACAUUGAUAUUUGGUGGUUUCAUGUAUGUAAAGGGAUACUACCAAAUACCUUACAAAAUGCCUUUGAUGGUUUAUAAAUUGAUUGCCAGCAAUUAUAUUUGCUCUAAGCCUCUGGAAACCCCUGUAGGGCACUGUUCAUAAUAGGUAUCUUAAACAUCACACUGUGAGGUCAUUCACACAAUCAAAAACUGUUCUACACAAGUUUGGGAGCUGUGUGUGCUCCAAAUUUUUGGUUGUGUAGAAGCAAGGAAGGAGGAAAACCUUGGUAGAAGUAAUUGUGUGGAAGCAAGGUAGGAGGAAAAGCUAUCCAGGUUCAGUAAAAAUGACCGAUGCUUUGGGUGUUCUUUGUGGAACAGUAGUAUAAAAGAUCUUGGAAAAAUAUACAUUUAAAUAAGUGUGUGCAGUCAGAACAUGAAAGUGGUUCAUAGCAGGAAUUCUAAAACUUGCGGCCUCCAGAUGUUGUUGGACUCUCAUCAUCCCCAGCCACAAUGGCCUUCAGUUUACAGGAAUAAUCCAGCAGGAAUCUUGAGCCAGCAAGAAAUUAUACUAGGAUGCCAAAGGGCAACAGAAGAAUAAAGCCAGAAGAAUAAAGCAGGCAGAGGCAAAAUGUUUUAAAUUGUUUUAUCAGAGAUAAGAACAAAGAAACAAAAGAAACUAAGAAAAAAAAGUAAAAAAUAGUCAAACCAAGCAAUUACAAUAAUUCUCAUUACAGUCUGUAUACAUAUAGAUGAUUUCUUUCCACCAACAUCUCCCACUGUGAAAGAAAAAAUGGCCACAGAGCUAAAAUGAAAUUGACAGUAUUUACAAUAACAACAUUAGUGUUCCUGCUAUCUACAUAGAACAAUCUGCAUUUAGUUUCUUUACAAGGAGAAACCAAAUCUCAGAUGAGGUACCAAACCCUGUGAUGUAUUAUAUUGAAUGAAUGGCACCCAUGUCUGAGGAAAAAAGUCAUCAUAUUUAUUCUUAAUAUAUGCAGUAAUUUUAGCCAUGAUGCAUAUUCCCAGUUUGAGUUGCCAAGCAUCCAGAAAUUAUAGUUUGUUUCUGCCCAUAUAAUUCCGUUGUUUGAUCUAGCUUCACAAACCAGUUAAUAUAUGUAGAGUUAGUGUACCUAACUGUUCAACGGGGUUCUUUGCAUUAUCAUUCUAUUGUCAGUAGACUUUUUGGGUGAUCUCUGCUUGGCAAUGCACCAGCUUGAUAUGAAGCCAAGAUCUGUAAUCUAAGGAUCUCAGCUUCACAUCAGGCAAACUGAAGAUUGCCAGAAAAGUUCACAUGACAUGCUCAGUGCAAGUUUACAUGCAGUAGAGCUGGAUCUUGGGAUUCCUGCUGAACUGACAGACUAAUCAUGUGAAGAGCCCCAAAGAAUCAGUUGGUACAUUGGCUUAAUCUGGGUACUCCACUUUAGGGAUGUGCAUGAACUGGCCGAUGGCCGGUUUGGUGGCGGGGGGUUACCUUUAAGGAGCAGGGAGGGUGCUCUUAAUCGCCGCCCCCACACACAUUUUCCCUGUGUCCAAAAUUGCUGGCGCGGGGUGGCAGCAUACCCUCUUGCUGCCCCAGUCAGCAUCAGUCUGGAAGUUGCUGGUGUGUGUGCGCAGCAUUCCUGGAAAGAUUGUUUUUACCAAACCAUAAGCUGGAAGUGAUCAAACAUAAACAGGAAUUCCAUGUAGAGACACCACAGUUAUGACAACAAGUGAGAUUAAAGCUGACAAGGAAGAUAAAACCUUCAUUGCUUAAAGUACCAUGAAAGACACCUGUGUUCAAAUGGCUCACCACUAGGUGGUACUGUAGUUUAGAACAAUGUUUCACUGAAGAUGCUUUUAUUUUCCAAACAUCAAAGUGAUUAAAUGAGGGACUGGACACUUUGCCUUAAUUAGGAAGGGGAAAGCAAUAUUUCUUUAUGUGGGUGGAGUUCUGAAAAAUAAUAGUAUUUGUCCUACUUAUUUUUAUACACUAUCAAAGUCAAGAAAAGCACCAAAAAUUAGUCUUACACUUUUACCUCACGUAUAACAAAGCACAACAAAAGGCUAUUUCAAAAUCUGAAUUUUGAGAAUUCAGACUUAUUUGAAAAAUGCUUCUCUCUCUUUCAAACACACACAUUUGCAUGGGCAUGCAUGGACACAGUUGCAAAAUUAUUCAAUUCCCUACUACCAGCCACAGGGAGGGGCCAUGAAUGCUAACCUAAGAUUAACAGGUGAGGAGCAAAAAACCAAACUAAACCAGUUGGAGGUUUGCUGCACAGCUAAAAGAAACUAGAGAGAUAUCUGUUUGACAUUUUCUCUUCCACAGGGCACAAGACACACUCUGGAUCCUCAUUCCCCACUUUUCCCGAGUAUCCCUGCAGUAAUUUUAGACCUACAAAUUCUUGUGCUUCUCCCAGUAGGACAGUAAUCCAAGAUGACCUUCCCAUCAGAGGCCUGUUUCAUACAUACCUGUUUCUGCUGCUAUGUAAAUAAUCUUCCUUGUGGCAUUCAGCUGCUCUUUAACAAAACUCACAGCAGUAGAGAGCUGAUAUGGUGUUUCUUUUUAAAUUUAACGUUAAGGACUCUCUCCACCAUAGCAAGUAUGUCUUGCUACCCAGUACCCACCUAAAUAAUACUACUGAGGCUAAGUGAACAUAAUGGGUUCCUAACACUGAGAACCAGGGGACUUUUAAGUGUUGUUGGGAAGGGAAGUUGGAACAUUUCCCCAAUACUAGAGAAUGUACCCUUUUGCUAAGAGGCUAGUAAAAAGGGACAACAGCAACUGCAAGAUAGUUUGAUAAGAUGGUUAAAACCACAUGUAAAGAAGAUAUAUUUAAUAUAUAUAAAAGUGGUCUCAUAAUUAGGGAUAGUGUUUCAUGUAGAUCACUUUCUUACGCUGCUAACCUCUUGAUGAAAGUAGCUUUAUAAUCCAAAAUGCCUUUAUUUAUAGAUUAAUCCUCCAUUGUUUCUUGCGUUAGGGUGAGGCAAACAUAGAAGCUUUUUGAAUUACCCAAUGGGAAACUGGGAACUAGUUUCCCAUUUAAAAUUUUGUGAAAAUAUAUUGGUGACUAACUGCAAUGUCAAUUGCAUCACCCAAUGCUGCUUGUAGUAUCUGUGUAUAUCUGAUUUGUCUAUAUUUGUUUUAUUUCAGUCAUUCAGUUGGGUGCAACAUUUGGAACCAUUCCUGAUGUCCCCUCCCUAUAUGCCCUUGGCAGCACACACAAGUAUUCAGGCAGCGACCCAGUACUGAGGGACUGAGAGUGUUUAGGCAGGAAGGGCUCCAUUCUUUCCUUCUCGAACUCCUCAAUCAAUGUGAUAAUUUCCUCAUUCAGAAAUUGUGAGAGAUAACAUGUUGUGCUGCAGUAGGAAAGACCUUGUUGCCUGUAGCGUUUCUCACUGCCAGCAGUGAGAGAAGGGCUCUGUUUUGGGGAGAGCAAGGUCCUAUUUGCUCUCUGAAGGAGAAAAUAAAGCUCUCCAGCUUCUAUUAGGAGGCUCUGUUGCAGUAAGCAAACUGUGGAUCAGGCUUUGUUUACAAUGCUUGAUGGGUAUCUCCCUCAACAGAUCUCUUGUAAGCAGGAAGAAGAAAACAAGGUUUUAGGGUCUUUCUUCCUUUCCAGCUCUAGAAGUAUUCCUACCUGUGACAGGACCUACCAUCAUAAGAUUUCAUUACUACUCUGCAAGGAGAGAGAGAGCACCUGCUUAGAAACAUCAAAGCUCCACAUCCAGAAGGUUUGACAGAAGGAUGUAGAUUUGACAGAAGGAUGUAGGAUUGUUGUGCAGAAGAGACCAAGAGUUCCAGUUAUAAUUCAGAUGGAAGGUUUUCCAUCUAUAAACUUCUACAUGAACAAGAUGCUGAAAGAAUAAUGUAGCUGUUUAAAUACAAUAUAGCAUUUCAGCAAAUGUUCUUGGGUUGGUGUUUUUUUUUUUUUGGUGAUGGUUGCACAUCCUUAUAUCAGUAACCAGAGUCAAUUAAAGACCCUAAUUAGAGUUAAGCACAAUGUUGCUCAGAUCUUAUGAGUAUGUAAGCAACAUUGCUGAAGGCCCCACACAUAUACUGGAAGCGAAGAUAUAAAAGCAUGCUGAGCUUUUAGAUACUUCUUAAUGAGUUGCAAAUUAUUUCUAAAAUAAAAUUAUGUUUCACAACUGGUUCAAGUACCACGCCCCCCGCCUCAUAUAGCAGCUUCUGUGGGAAGAUGGCAUUGUGGUGGCUGGCAUUGUUUACUAAAUAAUUUUAGAAGACAUCAAAAAGUAUGCAUUGUCACAGCAUCUAGAAAACAUCUGUAUGCACAUUCAGAUAGCACAAGAGUUUUGAUCAUACAUUAUGUUCAGACAGUUUAUGUACAGUGUAUGUAAGUACAGAUUAUUCAUAUUAUGUUCAACACACAUACUGCGUGUUUGAGGGGGCCUGUACUCAGGUUCACUUUUAAAAUGAACACAUGUACAGUCAUUUGGACAAAUACAGACGCCUACAUGCAUCUAUAUGCAGAUGCCUACAUGUUUCACAAUAGCUGAACAGGGCCAAGACUGCACAGUUUGCAGAUUGUCAAGACUUGUAUAAGUCUAGCUUCUAAAUAUUGCACAAUUUUCAAUAAUCAACAUUACUGGCAAAGUUGUCAGAUAGCUUAUUAAUACACUUAUUUAUAGAGAACUUUUCAUCAAAAGAGUUUAGAAAAUGAUUUAUAUUACAAGAGAAUGAAAACAUAGUUCUCUGUCCCCAAAGAACUCACACAAUCUAAAAAAUAUACAAGGGAGUCCACCAGCAAACAGCCAUUGGGAAAUAUGCUAUGCUGGCAUGAAAAAGGGAUUGUUGCUAUUCUCUUGCGAAGUAGCAAAUAAUUACUACAAUGGCUAUGGAUAUUAUGCCACUUUUCAAUAGAAGUUCUCAAAGCGGUUUACAUAAAAUAAAAUAAGUUGGUUCAUUGUCCCAGGACGGCUCACAGUCUAAAAAGAAUCAUAAAGUAGACACCAGCAACAACCACUGGGGAAAGACUGUGAUGGAAUUUGAUAGGGACAGUUCUCCCCCAGCUGAAUAUAAGAGAAUCACUGUAACAUGUGCCCCUCUGCUCAGUUAACACUGGGGUAAUAUAUUUUAUUCAGUUAGCAGGGGCAAAAUCCUACCUAUUAAAUAAAUCCACUUAAAGAAGAUGCUUCACUUUUAGGUAAAGAACAAUUGGUAUACAGUACAGAGAAAGGAAAUUCAAUGUAUGAAGUCAAGCCCAAAGUUGUUAUUUUAUAUAUUUUAUAAGUUAAAAUUAGUAUGGAAUAAAAUGCCCAGCACAAUCUAUGUUUCUUGCAGCUUGAGCCCUGUAUUGCCACUUUUGCUGUGCUGCCAAAAGCAAAAGCCUCUCCUGGAAGAAGAACGUUUCCAAGCUUGUCCUUAUAGACUUGCAUAAAGAGAAGGCCCUGACAAGCCUCUCCAUUCAGUCCAAUGGCAUCCACUAUACCAGCAAUGUAAGGACACUAGACAGGAUUGUGCAAUCUGCUCUCCAUUGUGCUUGCUGUAAUGUCCACUGCUAGAUAGCAUAGCAAGACUGUUAAGAGCUUGUUCAAAAGCCUGUUUCUCAAGAGCUCCCUGCUACCCUCCCUCCACCCCCUCCCUGCUUCCUCCAUCAAGUAUGAAUGCGCUCACUCAAUCAAUGAAGCAUCUCUUAUCUGAGAUCUUGGCUUACCUCCAGCUGCAGCUCAUGCUCUCUCUCUCUCACUCCAGGAUUUUCCCAUUCUCUAUUUGUAAUCCUUAAUCCCGGUUAUCAUGUACACAGGGUUCCACUGAGAAAAUGAGCUUUAUCUAAAUUUGGCCAGUCUAAUUGAAGUAGAUUAAUAAAAUCAGUAUGGUUAAAUUAAAAAAAAAAAGCCAAGUACUAGAGUUUCUGUGAGAUAUCACUCAAACUGAAUGAGAAUGAAACUCAAAAAAAGCUACUCAGGGAAUACACAAAAGACUAGAAGUUAAGAUGCAGGUCAUACUUAAAUAUAAACAGAAAAAGUGAUCUUCAGUGAAGCUGUCACAUCUCAUUUGCAAGGGAUUCCUCUAGCUUAAAAAAAGAAGAAUUAGAUUUAUUAAGGAUCACUUAAUGCUCACAAUAUCUGACAUCCAAGGAUUGCUCACUUUGUGCUUUUGAAAAGAUGCUAUCUGCUGUGUCCCUGUAGCCAGUGACUAAAGACAAAGCUUCAGACUCAGAGACUCCAAGCUUCUUGCUUUUCAGGGGAGGGAGGGAGAGAAGCAUACGCAAGGGGGAAAUUCAGAUAAUAAAAUGAACAAGGAGAGAGACUGUUAAUGGAACUGCUCUGGAGUGCUGGCUAAACACUCCAAUCGGGCUUCUGGGCUAACGUCAGGAAUCAGCGUGACUAUAUGGAACAAGUCCACCACAAUAUCAAUUUAAGCAAAGUUUUGGUCUGGAAAAUGAUGAAGAGGCGGAAGUGCAAUAUUUGUUUAAAGAUAAAAGGGGUACAGGAAGAGGAAAGAAGGUGAUUAAGUAAAGCAAUACAAUUCUAACUAGCAAUAAUAAUAAUAAUCUCACAUAAAGGCAUUUUGGCUCAAGGUCCAAACUGUCAAUAAAUCAUCUUAAGGGUUACUGGAGAAAGAAUUAAAAUGCUGGUUUAAAAAAGGAAAGAGAAGGGGCAAGGAGUUUUAAAGGGAUAGGAAGUUAGUAUAACUGGUCCUGAUCCAUUGGUGCAUUUGUUGCACUUGCAGGGAAAUACCCAGGCAGACCUCCUUGCAGGGGUAGGACAGAAAGGCAGGAAAAAGAGGCAAGUGGCGCAGCGUGACCACUUGUGGGCUGAAGAAACAGUGUAGUAUAGGUCUGUGUAAGUGUCCUUUUUCCUUGAGCUCCAGGAGUUCUCUGGGUGCCCCGAGUGCUCUAAGAAUGUGUUUGGAUUUGGGAUACAAACAGGCAAAUUCAUGCCCUGGGGGCCACACAGAAGUCAAGCACCGUGGCUGGUGGGGCUGAAACUUGUGUGGAACAAAGGAAUUAAUGUUUACAUGAAUUCAUCAACUUGGGUGUAAUCCUGGGGAACAAAAGGAUUUUUGUUCCCCGGGAUUUUUUAAAUUUUAAUGUGAUCUGAUUUUUGUCUUUUUUAUGAAUUUUAAUUGUGUUAAAAUGUUUUAAUUCUGUACACAGCCUAGAGAUUUUUAUACUUGGUGGUAUAAACAUUUUUUUUUUAAACAGAUGGAAUGGUUUGGAAGGAAGUGUACAUGUAAGUUUGAAAUGGUGAACUUAAAGCUUAUCUGCCAACCAGGAUGUCUCCAGGUGGAGGGAGAUAUGGUUCCUUUGGUGACUUCACCUUGGCCCUUGUCAAAACCGUGUUGAUGGUGGGAUUGGGAUGUGCCGUGCUUAUCGAAGUUCCUAAGGAGACGAUUAGCAAGGCUACUUCUCUUUUGCAAGAAGGGAGUUAACUAUUUCCCUUGUGAAGGUCUCCUUGACCCGUGGUCUACUUUGCUAGCUUUCCUUCUCUUUUGACUCCCUACAGUCGCUUGUUGUUCUCACCUUGGGUAGCAUUGCCCCAUGUUUGCUUGUGCUAAGCAACCAGAUUGCAUAGUUUGCCAAAUGUGAGCAUGUGCCGAGUUCAUGAUUCUGUGAACUCAGGUAUCCAAGAUAUAGGCUGUGAGCCCACAGUUCCAAAUCACAUAGCGGGAUGCUGACUGCAGCCUCAAAAUAAGCUGUUCUGGCAACAAGACUGGAUGAAGUCAUUGGACUAUGUUAUUACCAUGUGCAAAUACAACAGAAAGAGUGUACAGAGAAGCUGCCUGCACUCUGAACAAAGAGUAAUGGUAGCUGAAUGUGCCCAAAUGUUCUUGGCAAUGUACAGGGGCCAAAUAGGGUGGUCCUCAAGGGUGUGUGUAUCUUUAACUUCAUUAUGGCAGAGUUUUGGCAGAUCUUGCUUCUCCAGUCAUUGUUAAACUUCUCCCUCCACUAUGUUUUUCUCUCUUAAAAAUAUAGGAUAUUGCACUAUGAAUAAAUGAAACUGCCUUAUA